GAAUCUGGCAACGUCCAAUUUGAAUUAUUGUCGUCCUCUUUAUCUCUUCUAGAUUUUUUUUUGCGGAAAUCUCUUCUUGAUUUUAGAUUCAUCAACCAGGGUAUCAUUUCCAACCGUCAGUGUCCUAGCUGGAGAUCACUUCCUUUUUUUGCGUAUGUCCUUCCUUAUCUUUUCCAUCCUUAAAUUAUAAGAUACGUAGCAGCGCGCACAUGUAUAUAAAAAUAUUAUCCUUCUUUAUUUCUCUUGUGAAGAGUCUCUGGUUCCUUCCUUAUUUACCAUGAUCUCUGAGAGACUUCCUGAUACCCAGGAAAUGAAUGAUGUAUAUAAAUAAGAUAGAUUGGAUGUAAAUCAGCUAGGUGGGACUAGUCAAUAUCGGCCUCAACCUUCCCUUGUAGACACAGGACGUUAGCUUAGUUGACCUUGAUUUUUGCUUCUUAACCGGGAUAGAUGGGCCUCAACUUUCCCUUGUACACACAGGACGUUAGCUUAGUUGGCCUUGAUUUUUGCCUCUUAACCGGGAUAGAUGGGCCGGUUUUCUGGACCAUGACACAUGGGUUGGUUCGUUCGCUCGGCCUCGCUGGCUAACGAAGGAAACUGACGUACGAAAUAGCGGACGGAUGAAACGGACGAAAAUUAGGGCGUAAGAAGCGUUUCGUGCUUUAUUAUUAGGUAAAGAUGUGUAGGUCCUGUUGUUGUCCAAUAGAGACAUAUCACCUGGAACCAUAAAUAUCUAGUGGUGAUACUGUUGAAACUUGAAACUGGAGCGAGUUAUUUGGUGUGGCUCAACAUGUCAUAGCAAUAUGGUGCCUAGAGCAGCUUAUCUUCUUAUGUCUUAUUAUUUGGCACAAACCAAACUUCAUUAUAUUAAGUAUUCACGUUUCUAAAGACAAAUUGUUUCGUAUUCUGUCUCCGUGGGUUUCAUUGUAUAUGCUUUCCAUGUGUGUUAAAAAUUCAGUUAAAAAUAGCAAAUUCAGGCACAUGUCAUGUUUCGAAUCUGGCAACGUGCAAUUUGAAUUACUGUCGUCCUCUUUAUCUCUUCUAGAUUUUUUUUGCGGAAAUCUCUUCUAGAUUUUAGAUUCAUCAACCAGGGUAUGAUUUCCAACCGUCAAUGUCCUAGCAGGAGAUCACUUCCUUUUUUUGUGUAUGUCCUUCCUUAUCUUUUCCAUCCUUAAAUUAUAAGAUACGUAGCAGCGCGCACAUGAAUAUAUAAAUAUUAUCCUUCUUUAUUUCUCUUGUGAAGAGCCUCUGGUUCCUUCCUUAUUUAUCAUGAUCUCUGAGAGACUUCCUGAUACCCAGGAAAUGAAUGAUGUAUAUAAAUAAGAUAGAUUGGAUGUAAAUCAGCGAGGCGGGACUAUUCAAUAUCGGCCUCAACCUUCCCUUGUAGACACAGGACGUUAGCUUAGUUGGCCUUGAUUUUUGCCUCUUAACCGGGAUAGAUGGGCCUCAACUUUCCCUUGUACACACAGGACGUUAGCUUAGUUGGCCUUGAUUUUUGCCGCUUAACCGGGAUAGAUGAGCCUGAUUUUCUGGACCAUGACACAUGGGUUGGUUCGUUCGCUCGGCCUCGCUGGCCGACGAAGGAAACUGACGUACGAAAUAGCGGACGGACGAAACGGACGAAAAUCAGGGCGUAAGAAGCGUUUCGUGCUUUAUUAUUAGGUAAAGAUGUGUAGGUCCUGUCGUUGUCCAAUAAAGACAUAUCACCUGGAACCAUAAAUAUCUAGUGGUGAUACUGUUGAAACUUGAAACUGGAGCGAGUUAUUUGGUGUGGCUCAACAUGUCAUAGCAAUAUGGUGCCUAGAGCAGCUUAUCUUCUUCUGUCUUAUUAUUUGGCACAAACCAAACUUUAUUAUAUUAAGUAUGCACGUUUCUAAAGACAAAUUGUUUCGUAUUCUGCUUCCGUGGGUUUCAUUGUAUAUGCUUGCCGUGUGUGUUAAAAAUUCAGUUAAAAAUAGCACAUUCAGGCACAUGUCAUCUUUCGAAUCUGGCAACGUGCAAUUUGAAUUAUUGUCGUCCUCUUUAUCUCUUCUAGAUUUUUUUUGCAGAAAUCUCUUCUAGAUUUUAGAUUCAUCAACCAGGGUAUCAUUUCCAACCGUCAAUGUCCUAGCAGGAGAUCACUUCCUUUUUUUGCGUAUGUCCUUCCUUAUCCUUUCCAUCUUUAAAUUAUAAGAUACAUAGCAGCGCGCACAUGUAUAUAGAAAUAUUAUCCUUCUUUAUUUCUCUUGUGAAGAGCCUCUGGUUCCUUCCUUAUUUAUCAUGAUCUCUAAGACUUCCUGAUAUCCAGGAAAUUAAUGAUGUAUAUAAAUAAGAUAGAUUGGAUGUAAAUCAGCGAGGUGGGACAAUUCAAUAUCGGCCUCAACCUUCCCUUGUAGACACAGGACGUUAGCUUAGUUGGCCUUGAUUUUUGCCUCUUAACCGGGAUAGAUGAGCCUCAACUUUCCCUUGUACACACAGGAUGUUAUCUUAGUUGGCCUUGAUUUUUGCCUCUUAACCAGGAUAGAUGGGCCGGAUUUUCUGGACCAUGACACAUGGGUUGGUUCGUUCGCUCGGCCUCGCUGGCUGACGAAGGAAACUGACGUACGAAAUAGCGGACGGACGAAAUGGACGAAUAUCAGGGUGUAAGAAGCGUUUCGUGCUUUAUUAUUAGGUAAAGAUGUGUAGGUCCUGUUGUUGUCCAAUAGAGACAUAUCACCUGGAACCAUAAAUAUCUAGUGGUGAUACUGUUGAAACUUGAAACUGGAGCGAGUUAUUUGGUGUGGCUCAACAUGUCAUAGCAAUAUGGUGCCUAGAGCAGCUUAUCUUCUUAUGUCUUAUUACUUGGCACAAACCAAACUUUAUUAUAUUAAGUAUUCACGUUUCUAAAGACAAAUUGUUUCGUAUUCUGCUUCCGUGGGUUUCAUUGUAUAUGCUUGCCGUGUGUGUUAAAAAUUCAGUUAAAAAUAGAAAAU
This 2948-nucleotide long non-coding RNA is filed under the name Triticum aestivum (bread wheat). Its description in RNAcentral is "long non-coding RNA (TAES_LNC014711)". Lineage: Eukaryota; Viridiplantae; Streptophyta; Magnoliopsida; Poales; Poaceae. The record is from RNAcentral.